RNAcentral lists this ribosomal RNA (324 nucleotides) under uncultured Euglypha. RNAcentral's name for it is "SSU rRNA". The stretch from base 112 to 324 matches the Rfam family "Eukaryotic small subunit ribosomal RNA", at positions 741 to 955 of the family's 1831-position model. The record is from RNAcentral. Lineage: Eukaryota; Cercozoa; Imbricatea; Euglyphida; Euglyphidae.
GAUUUCUGACGAACCGGAGUGGCCCGUUUUCAUUUCGGAAAUGAGUGCCGCUUUGAGUUUGUCAUCCUUCCAGAGAGCUGCGUCUACCGUUUACUCGGCCGGACGUAUGCGAUCUGGAUCUAUUACUUUGAAAAAAUUAGAGUGUUUAAAGCAGGCUUAUGCUGUGAAUACAUUAGCAUGGAAUAAUAAUUUAGGACUUUGGCCCUAUUUUGUUGGUUUCUAGGACUGAAGUAAUGAUUGAUAGGGAUAGUUGGGGGUGCUCGAAUUCAGCGGCCAGAGGUGAAAUUCUUGGAUUCGCUGAAGACGAACUCAUGCGAAAGCAUU